Molecule: ribosomal RNA, 188 nt
Filed under: uncultured fungus
Lineage: Eukaryota; Fungi
Description: partial large subunit ribosomal RNA
Rfam family: Eukaryotic large subunit ribosomal RNA
Source: RNAcentral
AUAUCAUGAAGCGGAGGAAAAGAAAAUAACCAUGAUUCCCCUAGUAACGGCGAGUGAGCGGGAACAGCUCAAAUUUGGAAUCUCGCAGGACACCCUGCGCGAAUUGUAGUUUAGAGAAGCGGAUUCGGGGGACCGGGCGGCCCAAGUUCUUUGGAACGAGACAUCGCAGAGGGUGAGAAUCCCGUUGC